RNAcentral lists this non-coding RNA (20 nucleotides) under Arabidopsis thaliana (thale cress). The record is from RNAcentral. Lineage: Eukaryota; Viridiplantae; Streptophyta; Magnoliopsida; Brassicales; Brassicaceae.
UAGUAGAAAAAGUAGAAAAA